Molecule: long non-coding RNA, 2178 nt
Filed under: Homo sapiens (human)
Lineage: Eukaryota; Metazoa; Chordata; Mammalia; Primates; Hominidae
Description: non-protein coding lnc-RAB11FIP2-8:1
Source: RNAcentral
GUUUCUGAUUUUCAGCAGAACAUUCUAUGUCUUUCACCGAAAGGAGAGAUUGAAUAUAUAAUCUUAGGUUUGCUAUAAUUAGUUCUGAUGACAGAGUUAAAUACCUCAGCCAAGACUGUAAAUCAGUACGUAAACAGGUUUCUGCAACUGAUCAUAAAUCUCAAACUGCAUAUUUUAAACACUUAUUUUUUUAGGAUGACAGAUAAGGGAGCAGCAGGCUAAGGAUAGGAAUAAAAUGUUAUCUGAACUUUUAAGUCACAACUUAGAACUCACAUUAAAAUCUUCUGAUUUUCUUUAUACCUUUUGUCUAAAAUAUUAUCUUUUAGCUUAUUAAUAACUUUAAUAAGACAAGUUUGAAUUUAAUUCACAAAAAAUGAAGAUAUAAUUUAUAAAAUGUCCAAAUUUUUGUUAAGACAUUACUUUUUAAGAAAUGUGUGUCUUGCUAAAUAUAAAACAUAUUGUAUGAGGUUGUUGUUUAAACAAAAUGAGAGUUGUACAUUAUUUUUUAAGAGAUGAUAAAGUUUGAGGAGGCAAGCCGAUGUUAUGUCAGAUCUCAUUUUGAAGUUAGUGAAACCUAGUCUAAUCCAGAACCAACUGAAUCCAAGUUUUCCAUUUUGGCAGAAGUUGCUUUUAUUUUUAGUAUCUGGCAGAGCAACAAAUGCUUUGCAUGUCAGUUCAAUAUUUUUUCCUGCCAACUGUUUAUUCAUUGGCUUAAAAUUUACACUCUACUAAAGUCUUAGCUCUGACUUUCAUGAAACAAAUAGUAAUAUUUGGACAAAAUAUGUACAUGAAAAUCUUUUUCCAGAACCAAAUGUAGACUGGUAUUUGUGACAUCAGUGCCUUCUAGCAUGGUGACGGGUCGAAAAAUACUUUGAAAAGUUGAAGGCUGUGUAAACCCACGGCAGUGCAUCUCAAGUGAUUUUUAUUAUGAGGUAAUCAGAGUAUCUAGGUUUUCAAAUUUAAAUUAGUGGGUGACUUUAUGCUAGAAAGUAGAAUAUGUGUUAGAAUAAAUUUAUCAAUAUAUAUUCUUGGCCUUUGUAGGAUACUGAGACAAUAAGGUCCAUUUUUCAUUUUUGAGGUUGGGGAGCUCUGUAGAUUUUGAUAAAAUGUGCAGAACUGCAUUCUUUAAUCUUUAUUAUUUCAUCCUCCCUCCACACUGCUUGCUUUAAAAGAAAAAAAUACCUACACACAUUUUCUAGUGUUAACUGCUGUAAUCAGCAUAGACUUCCUGGGAAGGGAUUCUUGCCUUCAGUAAAGGACAUGACAGCAUGUGGCCAAUGGAGAUUGCCACGAGGAAACCUGGAAAGGCAUUGAACCAUUUUGUGCUACUGUUAAAAUGAGGUGUGUUGUCUCUUUAUUAUCUCCUACUCAAUAGUGAGUAUUCUGGAGGUGUCUGUUCCCUUUCCGGAAUUUCUUCAAAUACAGAGAUGCUUCAGAGUAGCUUCCUGCCACAUUGGCUUUCAUGAUCUUAAUCCCUGGAACACAGCUAUAGGCUUCUGGGAGAUAGUUUAUUAAAUGCCAUGCAGAAUGCUAUGUUUUUAGAUGUGCAUGUAAAUCAAGAAUUAGCUGAGGAAUAUCUUUUUAUUAGUAGUAGUAGUAACUCAUUUUUAGAUUCAAGUAAAGUUUGUUUUCCAGGUGAGAUGACAUUUUUAAGAAAUUGAAUUUAAGUAUGUGCUUUUAUAUCCGGACCAGGUUUCUCAAGGAAGCAGAAUACAAGGGAAUGAAAGGGGAAGGGAGGGUAGUGCCCAAGAGAAACCUCGGCUCCUAAGUGCUCCCCUGCCAGGUUUCCCCCGUGCCUGCCCACUGGCACCAUCCUGGCAGCUCCAGCCCACACCCCCUCCUGGACCCUGGGCUGCCUCUCGCUGAAUAGCUGCAGGGGGCCUGCUAUGUGACAGGUAUGGAAUGAGGUAAUCCUUUUCCACCUCUAAUUUCUGAAGGGUGUGUCUGUCCAGUUUUUACUUGUUCAUUGAAUUUAAAGCCUUAGGAACCAACAGCUACAGUGCAAGCUGUAAUUAUUGAUGUCUGUUUCAUAUUCAUCUGUAAGUUCUGGCAUUUGAUCAAGAAGUCAAUAUAUCACUUCAUCUUCAGGCUGAAUGUGUCUCAGCUAUAAAGGUUUUAUUGUUUGAUGGAUAGCAUACAAUUAUGACUGCCCACAAUAAAAAGUGUUUUCAUUUGUAA